This 253-nucleotide ribosomal RNA is filed under the name uncultured prokaryote. RNAcentral describes it as "partial 16S ribosomal RNA". It matches the Rfam family "Bacterial small subunit ribosomal RNA", at positions 524 to 776 of the family's 1533-position model. The record is from RNAcentral.
UACGAAGGGGGCUAGCGUUGCUCGGAAUGACUGGGCGUAAAGGGCGCGUAGGCGGAACGCUUUGUCGGAUGUGAAAUCUCUGGGCUCAACCCAGAGUCUGCAUGGGAAACUGUCGGGCUUGAGUAUGGGAGAGGUGAGUGGAAUUUCCGGUGUAGCGGUGAAAUGCGUAGAUAUCGGAAGGAACACCUGUGGCGAAAGCGGCUCACUGGACCAUAACUGACGCUGAGGCGCGAAAGCUAGGGGAGCAAACAGG